UACCAGCACCCCGAGUGGUCGGGACGAUUAUUGGGCCUAAAGCAUCCGUAGCCGGCCUUACAAGUCCCCCGUUAAAUCCAACUGCUUAACAGAUGGGCUGCGGAGGAUACUAUAAGACUAGGAGGCAGGAGAGGCAAGCGGUACUCAGUGGGUAGGGGUAAAAUCCGUUGAUCCAUUGAAGACCACCAGUGGCGAAGGCGGCUUCCUGGCCUGUUCUUGACGCUGAGGCGCGAAAGCUAGGGUAGCAAACGGG
Molecule: ribosomal RNA, 253 nt
Filed under: uncultured bacterium
Lineage: Bacteria
Description: partial 16S ribosomal RNA
Rfam family: Archaeal small subunit ribosomal RNA
Source: RNAcentral